GCCAGGAGCAGUGGCGUGCGCUUGUAAUCCCAGCAGCUCUGGAGGCUGAAGCAGGAGAAUCAUGAGUUCAAAGCCAGCCUCAGCAAAAGUGAGGCUCUAAGCAACUCAGUGAGACCUUGUUUCUA
RNAcentral lists this small RNA (125 nucleotides) under Marmota monax (woodchuck). Lineage: Eukaryota; Metazoa; Chordata; Mammalia; Rodentia; Sciuridae. The record is from RNAcentral.